GGUUUAAUUCGAUGAUACGCGAGGAACCUUACCCGGGCUUGAAUUGCAGAGGAAGGAUUUGGAGACAAUGACGCCCCUUCGGGGUCUCUGUGAAGGUGCUGCAUGGUUGUCGUCAGCUCGUGCCGUGAGGUGUCGGCUUAAGUGCCAUAACGAGCGCAACCCCUCUCCUUAGUUGCCAUCAGUUUGAAGCUGGGCACUCUGGGGACACUGCCACCGUAAGGUGUGA
Molecule: ribosomal RNA, 226 nt
Filed under: uncultured bacterium
Lineage: Bacteria
Description: partial 16S ribosomal RNA
Rfam family: Bacterial small subunit ribosomal RNA
Source: RNAcentral